Molecule: ribosomal RNA, 347 nt
Filed under: uncultured Lactobacillus sp.
Lineage: Bacteria; Bacillati; Bacillota; Bacilli; Lactobacillales; Lactobacillaceae
Description: bacterial SSU rRNA
Rfam family: Bacterial small subunit ribosomal RNA
Source: RNAcentral
GUUUAAAAAGGUACGGCGUAAGCUGUCGCUAAAAGGGGAUGGACCUGCGAUGCAUUAGCUAGUUGGUAAGGUAACGGCGUUACCAAGGCGAUGAUGCAUAGCCCGAGUUGAGAGACUGAUCGGCCACAUUGGGACUGAGACACGGCCCAAACUCCUACGGGAGGCAGCAGUAGGGAAUCUUCCACAAUGGACGCAAGUCUGAUGGAGCAACGCCGCGUGAGUGAAGAAGGUUUUCGGAUCGUAAAGCUCUGUUGUUGGUGAAGAAGGAUAGAGGUAGUAACUGGCCUUUAUUUGACGGUAAUCAACCAGAAAGUCACGGCUAACUACGUGCCAGCAGCCGCGGUAAU